Salvia miltiorrhiza (redroot sage) is the source of this 787-nucleotide long non-coding RNA. RefSeq lists it as uncharacterized. The record is from RefSeq and is a predicted model, not a curated record. The transcript is spliced from 3 exons. NCBI's taxonomy places the organism in Eukaryota, Viridiplantae, Streptophyta, Magnoliopsida, Lamiales, Lamiaceae.
CAACAAAAAAACACCCCUUAGACAAAGAAAUAAGAAGCAAUCCAGACCUCUCAUCUCAUAUCAUCCAACGAUCCUGAUUAGAGGAAACUUCAUCGCCUAAUUAAUUCGCUUAUUCUGAAAUUCUUUGGUUUACAAACGUUAGGGCUAGAAAUGUAAAAUUCAUUUGUUCGUAAUUUUGGAAUCUUAAACAAUUCCCGGAUUUAUCUCACUUACCUGGAAGAUGAUGGUCAAAAUCGAUUUCUACGAAUUUUUGACACAACCCUGUUCAUUUGCUAUUACUUUCCCCCCAUUUGUAUCAGCUUCCGAUCUUGUUCGACAGGUAUGAAGAUGGAUCGCCAGAAACAUAAAGAAAUUGGGUCGGCAUGUUCAGAGUUUUUGUCUUGCAUUCGAUCGUUCAGUCACACAUAGAUAAAUAAGGAGCUAAAGUUGCAAAGUAGCUCGCGCGCCUGCUGCCCAUCUCUUCGAUCCAGCCCCUAAGCUGCAUAGGUCUACUUCAUGCAUAAUGUUGUAUGAUUUCAUUAUUCAAGAGUUUAGGUUGGUUUUUCAUAGCUUUAUUAGUUUUAUGGUACUAAAAGUAUGAAACGAUGUUUCAUUAAAAUUUAGCUAUUAAACUCAAUUGGCUUGUUCAUUUUUUGUCAUUGUACUCUUCUGUUACUUUGCAAAACAGUUCUUGCUUCCCUGAAUAAUGUAGUACUAUUAAAUCUUAGAUUUCUAUUGUGUUAAACUGUUAUUGACUUUAAUAUGAACAUGUACCUAAGUUUGUUGAACUUGCAUUACUGUAUUGAUU